GGCGAGAUGGCCGAGCGGUCUAAGGCGCUGUGUUAAGGAGCUCAAGCUUCCGCAGUCUUCGGACGUGGGUUCGAAUCCCACUCUCGUCA
Molecule: transfer RNA, 89 nt
Filed under: Cutaneotrichosporon oleaginosum
Lineage: Eukaryota; Fungi; Basidiomycota; Tremellomycetes; Trichosporonales; Trichosporonaceae
Description: Trichosporon oleaginosus tRNA
Rfam family: tRNA
About the family: Transfer RNA (tRNA) molecules are approximately 80 nucleotides in length. Their secondary structure includes four short double-helical elements and three loops (D, anti-codon, and T loops).
Source: Rfam by way of RNAcentral